UGCAUGUUGUUCCAUUCACGUACAUAUAGUAAGCCACCUGAUAAGCCGAAAUAGAAUGAAAUGAUUGUAGUUUUCCAUGAAUGUUCUUUUGAAGAAAGAGUAUAAGAGGCUGUAGAAUUAAUUUUCUAAAUUAGCAUCUAACCUGGUGUUUUCUGGACAUUGUAACCAUCAUUCUUUUGCAAGCAGGCACACGAAAAAUAAUCUGCCUUGGCCUGGUAUUGCUUUAGUGUAUCAGCAUAAGGACCAGCUUUCCCUUCCAGUAAUAUCUGCAAAUUAGGAGGAUCUGCACACCAGCAUAUUUGUUGUCCCAAGAGAACUCUUUCAUUGCCCAGCCAGUUCCACCCAUGUAUACACCAUUGUCCACCACAUACUUUAGGUAGUAUUUAUCUCCAGUUGCCAGGUGUAGCCACGUGGCAGCCCAUAAUAAUUCAUCCUACACAGCAGCAGCAGAGUCAGGCUUUUUAUUUGAUAAUGGAUACUAAUGAAAGUAAAAGCAGAACAGAGCAAUGCUAACUCACUGAGUAACCGGAAGAAGUAUAGAAUUGCUGAGCACUUGAAAUAGAGUCAUCAUAGAGACCUCUGAACCUAUCUGCGAAUGUGAAGAGCUGCGACAGAUUCAACAUUAUCAAUAACAAGUUAUCCAUUUCAUUAUCUAAGACCAGAGUAAGAAGAAUUGUAGGGCCUGAAAGCCAAAGCUGCAGCAGCCAAUGCAGCUGCAGUUUCACCUGCCAGAUCAGAGCCAGGGUGUUGUUCAUCAAUUUUGUAGGCACCUCUUGAUGUAGUCAUGUCUUCAGCACGCUCCCAGCAGUAAUGAUCAGAAACUCCAUCUCCCACCUGAAAUUUGUCCCGACAGAGCAACAUCAACAUCUUAUAUACUUCAAUUUUUGAAGAAGUCACAUGAAGAAACUAAUGUAAAAAUUAAAGUGUCACUGACUUUCUCACAAGAAAGUAUAGUUUGUUAAACUAAAUGAUCUAUAGAUUUGAAGUGGAGUGAUAAAGAUCAAUAAUGGCAAUGAUGUCAGACAAUGAUGACAAACUUAAUGAGGUCUUAAUCAGAAAACUUGCGUGUAAAUGUAAUACUAUAAUCAUUAACUCAGGCAGAUGAAAAUUGGUGAACGAACAAAAGAACACAGUUCCUGUCUG
Long non-coding RNA from Vigna angularis (adzuki bean), 1143 nucleotides. RefSeq lists it as uncharacterized. The record is from RefSeq and is a predicted model, not a curated record. The transcript has 3 exons. Lineage: Eukaryota; Viridiplantae; Streptophyta; Magnoliopsida; Fabales; Fabaceae.